Molecule: long non-coding RNA, 4034 nt
Organism: Xiphophorus hellerii (green swordtail)
Lineage: Eukaryota; Metazoa; Chordata; Actinopteri; Cyprinodontiformes; Poeciliidae
Exons: 2
Source: RefSeq, a predicted model, not a curated record
CAAUAAAAACGUAACCAUCUAUAAACUUUCUGCGAUUAGAUAAGUCUCAAUAAAUCACAUGCCUUCACUUCAUUCUUUGUGGGAUAUCGGUCAUGCCGUAUCUUUCUGAAAAUAUUUUCACUCAACUUCUCCUUUUUUUUCUUUCCUCCCCUGCCCUCUCAUCCAACCUUGGGACACAUUCAGAUGAGACACAGUCACAAAAAAUGGGACCGUUAAUCACAGUAGAUUUAGUUCUUAAUGGUAUGCAGACACCAGUCGCCUCCUCCAAAUACUGUGGUCUGACCCCCGUUUGCUCUCUCAAAUAAAAGAAUGGACAGACGGAGUAAAUAUUGACAGCUCUGAGUCACUGCAGAUGACGCCCAACUAGCUCUGUUGCUCCCAUCAUGCUAUCUGCUCCUGUGUUUGCAGCUGCAUUUAAUCACAUUUGUGCGGUGCGUGUAAUUUAUAGUCGUUCUGCACUGUUUGACAAGAAACAGAAGUUUUAUUUUGUUUAGCUUUUUUCUUCUUGGUGACUUCAUGGCUCCAGAAUUGGUUUGAGAUCAGAUUCUGUUCUUAGGAACCAGAAUUACCACAAUGUGGAAAAAAUGUUUCAGAAAAGUCACCCUUUCAAAAUGCUGCUUGUGAAAUAAAUCUCUUGGCUGCAAUCAUAAGGGUUGGAAUGAGAGCAAGUGUUCCCCUGGUUUGUGUAAAGUCACUGUUUUAGAAAAUGACUGGCACAUUUGCAUAUUUCUGAGAUCAUAUGUAGAAACGAUUACGUUUAAGCCCCGGAAAGGAAGCACUAAAUCCAAAGUUGGAUCUGAUGAGCAAGUAAAGCUGUGCAGCUGCAGAAGUGGUGAUGAUGGACGCGAGAAGCUGCAGUUCUAGACUUAGAAAAACAUGUAUGGUGAUUGGAGAUCCAUGAGUUAGUUUUAGGGUAUGUGAUGCUGAAAUUAAAUUUUUUGUCAAAGAGGAAACAUUGCUGUUGUCCACGUCCCAGUCCUCAUAGUCUUCAUAGUUCUCAUCUUCCUACCUGGCUUAGUCCUCAUGCCUGACCCCUGGUCAACAUUGCUGUCAUUGCUCCUUAUUUAUCAUAGCCUUAUCUUUUUCCUUCAAAAGUUCCUCCACUGCCAUUGCUAAAUCGAAAGUUUUAAACUUUACUCAAUUGCUAACAUUUGUCCAUGAAAUUGUAAAUGGACUGUAAAGCGCUUUUCUGAUCAUUUUUACCACUUUGCACAUUCACCCAUUGGUACUCACAUUUAUGCAUUGAUGCGCAGAUCGGUAGGCAACUUUGGGUUAAGUGCCUUGCCCUGAAAUCGAACCUACAACCUACCGAUUACAAGACGACUGCUCUACCAACAGAGCCGCAGUCACCCCAACCAUCUUCCAGUGCGAAGAGAGAAGCGUCGAUCCAAACGAGGCGGCUGUUAUUGUUAAUUCAAUAUCUGGAAGCUUGGCCAACACGGACUGAACGGCGUUGUUCACUUCCUCCACUGCCAUUGCUAAAACGGCGCAGACUAUUCUUCACAACUUCACCUUGUGUUCACCGAUCGGCCCGGUAGAAAAUCAGUACUGUCGUCGUCCUCAAUCUAGUCUUUCUCACAGUAAUUCUCAUCUUGGUUAUUAUUUUCCUCUACGCAGUCGUCACUUGCGUCAUUGAAGUCAUUAAUCCACGUUCUAGUGGUCCUCGUCUUUCUCAUCUUCCUCGUUUCUCAUCCAACUUUGAGUCUUCGGCCAACAGAGCAGCUGCUGCUACAGAGCUGAACGUCUUGGCUGCGGUGGGUUCAUGAACCAGGGGAAGGAAAAUCAGAAAUCAGUGCAAAAUGUUAAUGGUUUUAAGGUUUGAUAGUCAAAUUUUGAUUUUAAAAAAAUAAAUAAACUUUUAAAAAGCAGUAAAUUCUUGAACAAGCACACAUCAGUUUAAUAAAUUCUUAGAUGUUCAAUGUUUAAUAGUCAGAUAUUAUUUUAUAAUUUAGAGAGAAUUUUUUUCAAGCUUCUGCCUGCAGAGUUGUGCCCUUUCCUCCUUUUUAGCUCUGCAGAGUCGGAGACGCCUCGCCCUGCAGCCUGACUCGCCUUCCUCAGUGUGCUCUGCUUCCGCUCCCUCUGGUUCGGCCGAGCCACCGUUUGUGUUUACACAAGUGCGCGCCACAGUCGGGCGGCCGGGGGCCCCGCUCGUAACUUUCUCGCUUUAAAUACUUUCUGUGUGCAUCACCUAGUAAAAUGUGAGCAGGAGGGAAGCUGAAAACGAGGCCUGAUAUUUCCCAAAUGCGACAUCUCUCUCUCUUUCUCCACCUGAAUGACAGCCACUGUUUACUUUUACAUACUUGUGCCUCCAUUUUUUUAUUUUUUUUUAACGGCAGCUGGUGGAUUGUGCGCCUGUCUGUCACCCCCGAGGUCGUGUUUGCUUUUCGUUUUUACUCAAACACGUUUGCACAAUAAACAGAGCGGACGCCGUGUUUGUGUUGUUUGUCUGCAAAACGGCAUGGAGUGGAGAAAGAAUGAGGGAAGCAACGGAGAUGAUUGAGGAGUCUGUCCAGGGGGGGGGGAUUAGGAAAAGCUCCAAAUAUGGUCAAACUAUUACAGUCCCCCCCCGCUGCUCCGCUCGCUGUCCCUCUGGUGUCUUUUUGUUUUUACUCCAACUCGUACUUGUCGGUCGAGCCGGUUUCCUUCUGUCUUCUGCGCGUUCUUGUUUGUGCCAGUCCACUUCUCCAAAUGGUGUUUACACCGGGAGCCGUGACCGUCUCGGCUCUUGUUUUGGAUUUUCUGCUGCAUCAUAACCCGCCGUGGCAGAUGGAAAUAGAAACGGAGAGGAAGUAGCUGCCAGCAGGAGGGAGUGCUCAUGUGGGCGUGCGUGUGUGUGUGUGUGCAAUCACAUCGUCCCUCUUGCACAUUCUUCAGUUCCUUCCUUUUUUUUUUCUGCUAAAGUUGCACAACAAUAUCUCAACAUAACUGAAAAUACUGUGGUUUCUUAGACGCAGGGGAAGCGCAGGCAAGCGCACAAACAGUGACCUCAGAAAACCUCUCUUCCCUUGACUCUGUGCUAAUCAGAUUGAGUGUUUUUAUGCGUUUUAUUUAUUUAUUUGUUGCUUACGUUGCCUUACGAGUACCGCAGUUUAAUCUAGUUGAUGCUUUUCAACAAAUCCGGGGCUUCUGGAGUUGAUUCAUCUACUUCUGGUCUUGAUGUUCAUUGUAAAGGAUAUGGAAGAUUCUGUGUUAUGCUUGUCCCUGCAAAUUGGGAUGUUAAUUUUGAAUGUGGGGGAAGAGGGUCAACAGACAUCAAUCAACGUCCAAUUUGAUUAAAUUCAAUAGUUUUGUGCGUUUUUUUUCUUUCUUGUUUUCCUUUAGAAGGAAAUGUUUGCAUACACUAAAAUUGUUGUCUUUAGAACAGUUGUCGGGCUUUUCUACAUUUCUCAUCAUUAAUUUACAAUAUUUGCUCUGAUGGAGGCGCACUUGCCAAAACAUUUCAGCAAACUAAAGUCGUACAGUUUAAAAGGCAAGUCUAAAACAUGUUCGUUAACAAAUCUGAAAAAUAUGUUUCAUAUUCGGCGCAUGAAAAAAAACAAACAAACUCUGACCUACAGCAGGGUUGUUUUUAAUUUAAUGUCAAUACAGUAAAUAUCUAAUUUUAUCUCUCGUUUCCCGCAGGAGACGGUAAAAUGCUUACACCCGAAGUGUCUCUUGUAACAAACAAAUACAGACACUUAAUUAUACAUUUUAGUCCAAAUGUGGGAGACGUUGCUGCCACACGCAGUAAAUUGACAUCUAGAUAAUGAUUGUUGUUGUUUUUUUUAGUCUAGGUAAAUUGUUGCCUGCGUUGUGCCUUAUAUUUGUAGCGCCAGCUAAACUUGUUCGUUUUUAUAAGUUUAAACCACAAACCUCUGAAGUAUUAUUGGUCAAAUGAGACCAGGAUGUAAAACUUUUUGGCUGACAAAACAAAACAGGACCGAGACUAUUGAGAAUAGUUUGUGUUUUAACGCAGGUUAUCCGUUUGUAUUGCUAGUAGUAGUUAGCAUCAGAAGAGCUAGAAAAUCCCACAGGUUAUCCAAGUUUCAACUGAA